UUGAAUUGAGUGAUGGCUGCCUCCUUCUGCUUGUGGAGUGUCCGUGUAUGGGGCGCUGUUGAAGACAGAUAUGUCAUUUUCCCAAUAUCUCUUGUCCUGCUACUCUGCCUCAAGGCUUCAUCUGUACUUUGUGCUUAAAAAUUCCUUCUGAAAUCUGGCAUAUCUUUGAUCAAUAGUCCUAGCUUCUAACAUUGUUGAAAAUUUACAUUUGUUUUUGAGAUUUGCUAAGAAUUUCAUGGGAAAGUUGACAAAGGGUGUGGGGUGUGGUUUCUGAAUGCCCUUGGCUUUGGUGCCAGAAUUGGCAUCAAGGACUUGGCCCCAGUGACUCCCAGUGAAUGCAGAUGCUCCUUUGCAUUCACCUGACUGCAUGAUGUCAGCAGCUGCAGCCAUGGACAACUGAUGUCACUCAAGGCAAGGUGAGGGCAGAUCAGUCCCUCUUAACCACAAUUCUAUAUAUAAUAUUGAGAAGAUAUUUUUCAACGUACAGAAAGAAAGCCUAAUUGACAGCCAAGGGCUUAGCUGCUCUGAAGUUGUUAAUGAACAAGAUAAUAACAGGUUUUACUUUUUGCAAUGGUAUAAUUUUUCCUCUAAAAAUUUCAGCUAAUUUUUGGGUUGUGAUAAAAGAAUAAGUCCCUUAAUGUUAGGUGAUUAAUUUAUGCUACACCAGAUCAUAUGGCAUAUAGUGACUGCAAAUGAUCUAAUUCUCAAAGGCAGUUUUUCAGAAGGAGCAGAAAAGGCAAGUCAGGGUUAGCAAAGUCCAGGCAGAGACCUGGACUAUACUGAACUAUACUGUUUAGAUUAAAAAUACUGAAUUAUUUAAAAAAUGAAUGUUUUAGCAAAUGAGCACAGUUUUAUAUGGUGAGAAUGAAGUUAGUAGUUUGUGAUUGUUUGGCUAGCCAUGGAGAACCUUCUAUUCCAAAUGAGGAGUUUAUCUAGUCAUGAUGAAAUAUUUUGGGGAAGAGGGGUAAAGUAGAAAAAAAUUAACAAUAGGUUUAAAAAAUCUUUCAUAUAACAUAUUUUCUUCUUAAUUCUUGGAGGGCAAAGCACCCAUCACUGCCUGUUACACUGAUUUAGAUAAGCCCUAGAUGUCUAAUUCCCAAGCAUAAAACAUUCUGAUGUCUCAUGGUAUCUUGCCACUCAAAAUGUGGUCAAGAGGCUAGUAGUAUCUUAUCACUUGGGAGCUAGUUAAAAAUGUAGGACCCGUACAUUCAGCAAGUAGUUGGUCUGUGUGCUGUGAGUGAGGGUCUGAGUCACCUGCCAUUUUGCUGGAGGAGCCCCUUGGGCCUUAGUAAACAUUUACAAUGUCUUUCAUCUUUGAGUGGAUCUACCGAGGCUUCAGCAGUGUGCCCCAGUUCCUAGGACUUGACAAGAAAUCUGGAAAACUUGGGUUCUUAGGUGUAAACAAUACAGGCAAAACAAUUCUUCUUCACAUGAUCAAAGAUGACAGAUUGGGCCAACAUAUUCCAACACUACAUCUGACAUCAGAAGAGCUAACAAUUGCUGGAAUGACUUUUACAACUUUUCACCUUGGUCGGCACGAGCAAGCAUGCCGGGUUUGGAAAAAUUGUCUCCCAGCAAUGAAUGGGAUUGUCUUUCUGGUGGACUGUGCAGAUCUUUCUUACCUUAUGGAAUCCAAAGUUGAGCUUAAUGCUUUAAUGACUGAUGAAACAAUAUCCAAUGUGCCAAUCCUUAUCUUGGGUAACAAAAUUGACAGAACAGAUACAAUCAAUGCAGAAAAACUCCAUGAGAUAUUUGAGCUUUAUGGACAGACCACAAGAAAGGGUAAUGUGACCCUGAAAGAGCUGAAUGUUCACCCUGUGGAAGUGUUCAUGUGCAGUGCACUCAAGAGGCAAGCCUACAGGGAGGGUUUCUGAAGUUUUGACAGUGAAAAUAAGAGUAUUACUUCUCUGGACUGAUCAUAUUCACAGCUUCCUCAUGAACUUUCCUAAUAGAACAAGGAAAGCUCUCCAACCAUGUCUGGCAUUGUGAAGCCUAGAGUCUCUGUCAACUUUCUCAUCACCCAGCGGUGACAUGUGCUCUUCUCCACACCGUUGGGAGGUAAUGCUUUCCCAUGUGCAGUAUUCUGGUCAGUAUCCUGGGACUUGGAAGUUGGCAGGAUUUGCCAGGUAAAGCUAUGUGCCAUUGUGGGGCACCUGAAAAGAAAAUACGUCUCACCACUGUAAUUGAUUUCAAAAGAAAGCAAUUCUAUUUUUUAAAGAAAGUGUUGUUAAUGUAAUUGCUAUCCCUCCUCACAUUUUUAGUUCAAGUUUACUUGGUCUAGAGUUCUCUAUUCUUUUUUAUUAACUAAUGAAUGAUACUUAGAUACUUCAUAAAAUUAAGCGCAGAUACACAUUGGAGACCAGAGCUCAUCUGGGUGGACUUACUCCUGCUGAGUUAGCAGGUUGGUGAGAGAAACUCCCACGAGCACACCUGUCUCUCUAACUGCCUUGGAGUAGGUGGCAUUAUCUCACCCACACAGAACUAGAAAAGGGACAGAACUCUGGCCUUGCAGUUGUGGCAGGUUUCACUGUGGUAAGCUAGGGUCACUCCUCAUCGGGGAAUGUGAAGCAGAUUGUUCACUGUGGAGGAGUUAAUUAUAGACUGGGUUAUUCUUACUUAUAAAGUUACAGAUUUCAGCCAGUCUCUGCUUUUGUACUUUUGUGAAAUUUUAUUUCUCUCUAUAGCACCUUUUUCACUUUUGGUUAUAAAAAGUGACUUUCACUUUUUAAAAGAGUUGAGAACAUCUCUCGUGUCACAUACUGCAGGUGUGUCAGUUACUUUUACAUAGAUUCUAGAGGGAAAUUUUUCUAAAUAGGGAGACAGGACAAAAUUUACAGUUUAAGGGCUCUUGAUUCUGUGAAUUGAGAACUGAAAAGUAUUGUGGUACUUGUUUGGAUCCAGAAAAUUUUACUCAGUGAGCUUUAAAACCUCCAUUUGUGAAUUUGGCCUCUAUUGGGCUGUUCAUGAACUCUUUUUCUUACAUCUUGUCUCCUUAGAUAUCUGUGUUGUUGGUAUUAAAGUAUCAGUUAACAUCUGUAGCUUUUCCAGGUUUGUGUGUUUGUUUGUUUGUUUGUUUUGGUAUGGAAUUGCCUUUCUCCAUUGCAGAAAUAAGCUGGGGGAAACACUAAUCCAAAAACUUUCUGUAGAGCUGUUCCUUGGGAGACAGCAUCACUUAUUGGCAGUAAAGACUCUGCAUAAAAGCACCAGCAUCCCUACCAGGGUGAUGAGGUUUAAUUUUAUAGCAUUCUAUUUUCCUUGUACCACACGUAAAAUUGAAUUUUGGUGAUCUUAACCUAUAUUCUACCCUUAUAGUAAAAGAUCAAACGAUAGAUCUCCCAGGAAAAGAUAACAUAGGAGAUGAAAAGUUGGGAGGAUAUCUGUAUUCUAAUGUGAGGGUAGGGAAAGUGUGGAUAAUGUAUUUCCAGGAUAACAGAGUAUCCUUCUUUAGUUGCAGUUUUCAUUCUCAGUCUUCAGUACUGACUUGUUGGGAAAGCGUACUUUUUCACUGCCGGGUACCGAAUGCAGAGACUCAAUGAAGUAUAUGUCUGGGAUGUUCGUGCAUUUCACUUAUUAGUAAGCAUGGCUGGAUUGAGACAAUUGUUGAUUUGGAAAGGGGUUAAAAUCUUAAGCGAAAAUAAUCUAAUAGUGAAUGAACUGUGUAAUUAACUUGGAUAUUUUUAAUUUCCUAUGGCUAAAGGUUCCCCAUACUUCUCUAUUCAGAGACAUGAGAAGUAUGAUUGCUUCAGUGUUAGUUUUCCUCCUUUUUUGUCCCCAUUUGUCUCUAGUCACUUUGUUGCAAGCUAGAAAACUGGGGGUUCUCCAUAGGACAGCUCUUUGUGAAAGUGUUUUAUCCCACUGGAGAAAGGGGAUUGAAAAUCAGUUAGGACCAGUGUAUUUCUUGUCCCACAGAACACUAUUCCUAUAAUAAAAUAGCUGAAAGAAGCUGCUGUGUGGAGCUUUGGCACCUUGUACAGGAAUUCCAGUGAAUUCAGACUUUUCAUUCUGUUUUAUCAGGAUACAUGUAUGUCCUAUUUCAGGAAAAGUAAAAUCGUCAUUUACAAAAGAAUGUCAAUCUGUAUCCUAAACAUUUAUAUAAAAAGUUAAAACAAAGCAAAAGUGUAGAGCCUUUGACAGCACCUACAUCUACUGAACCAGAGCCUUAUUUUACCAGAUCCCCUGGUAUACUGGUAUUGGAGAAGCACGGACAUGGCCUCUGAGAGUAGGGAUGGUAUGAAAGCGAGAAGGCGAAACUGAUCAUCUUAUUUCAAGACACUGUGGCGAUUAUGCGGUUUAAAUAUCUUUAUUACUUUAUUACUUUUAGGUUUGGCUUACUUGGCUUACUUUUCAGGCUCAGCCUUCUUCACUGUGAAUUACACACAUCCAAAGCUUUCCAUGUACUUCUUUCUAACAGUGACUUCACCCAUGCCUGAAUUUUCACUAUUAGAAGCAUUUUUUUUUUGCAUUAAGUGUGGGCAGAGGUUAAAAUAGUCAUGUAUUCCCUAAAAUAGAUAAUGCAUUAUGCUGUUUUCAUGAAAGGCAAGACUUGUUCUAGUCCUUGUGUGUGUGUGUGUGUUUGUGUGUGUGUGUGUGUGUGUAUGUGUGUGUGUUGAAAUAAUCAUGAAGCAGGGACUAAAGAAAUUUGAAUCAAAAGUUUGCAUCUGGAGAAGGGACAAAUCUGAGACAUGAAGCAUGGCAGUGAGGACCAUGGGCAGCAGAGGGCAAGGAACAGCCUGGGAAAUCUAGCUGUGAGGGAUUAACACAGGAAAGGUGGGAGACACAUCUCAGAAACAGUUGACUUGGGGUCCGCUCCAACACUGUCUACUUAGUGUAUAUAAAUUGUUCAAAUAACACAUUUGAUUCCCUCCGCAACUCUUUCCUGGGACAAAUAUCACUCAGAAUCUUCCCAUCUGAAUUCCAGAAGAGUUAAACACAGCAUCACCUUCAGAAAAUUCUUUCAUCUAAAUGGAGUAUCUAAAAUGUCUUCUAUUUAACUUUUUGAUUCUGUACAAGAGUAAUGCUUUAAGAUUACUAUGUAAAUAAACAAGCUGAAAACUAGAUGCGCCAGUGACAGCUUUAAUAAUCCAAUCCUUUUUAAAUUUUGUA
Non-coding RNA from Macaca mulatta (Rhesus monkey), 5103 nucleotides. Lineage: Eukaryota; Metazoa; Chordata; Mammalia; Primates; Cercopithecidae. The record is from RefSeq and is a predicted model, not a curated record.